Rhododendron vialii is the source of this 1128-nucleotide long non-coding RNA. RefSeq lists it as uncharacterized. The transcript has 2 exons. NCBI's taxonomy places the organism in Eukaryota, Viridiplantae, Streptophyta, Magnoliopsida, Ericales, Ericaceae. The record is from RefSeq and is a predicted model, not a curated record.
CUAGAAUUUUCCUUCAAAAUUUUCGAAAUUUUUGAUCGGAUAUACUCUCUCUCUUCUCCAUCUCACACACUCACCCCCCCUCUCUCUACCGAUUCACCACCACCAGAGCCCCACCAUCACGCCGUCCCACCACCAACGCCACCCCUCUCUACCACCGAUCAACCACCACCGGAGCCCCAUAGACGCCGCACCACCACCACGAUCUCCUCUCUUUUUCUCCCCUCCAUCUCGCACACUCUUCUCUCGAUGGAUCACCACGGAUGCACGACCACCAUAGAUGCUCUUUCUCACCUGGUUUUGAUCCAUGAAAUAGGAGCACCUUCAGCCUCUCGCCUCGCUGAAAUAUGUUGCUAGCAUAGAUCCUGCUAUAGAGAGAGCGUGUCUGCAUCGCGGGAAGGGUAGGGAGAUGAUGCAUUCUGCUAUUCUUGCUUGAUUGAAUGCAUCUCUAUAGCUCAUGUACACUUGCCAGAAAAACUUAAGAGAAGUUUGCUCGAUACCAUCAAUGAGAACUUAAGACAUCCUAAUUCUCAUAUAUAGGUAUAUCUUAUUCAACUCUUGAACUCUGUCACCGAUAGGCAUAAGAUUGAUCUAUUCAUUCUGCAUUUUCAAUUUAGUUAUUUUUUGCGAUGUCCAGAAUGCUGCUGUUGAGGCCCCAAAACACUUUGUUCUGGCUUACCUUCUCAAUGCAGAAGAUAAAAUUGUUAACAAUUUUGUGUCCAAGUACCUAGAACAGUUGGGGAAUUCUAGUGUGGCUGCAAGAAGAGGGUCUGCAUAGGCAAUCGGUGUACUGCCUUUAAAGUUUCUGGCUACAAGAUGGAAGGCUUUACUAGAUGGGUUUCUGGCUACAAGAUGGAAGAUGUUUCUGGCUUCAAGAUGGAAGGCAAUCGGUGUACCUAGAUGGCUUUUUACCUUGGUGUUGUAAAUGUGUCGCGAUUUUGUUUAUUGUGCUUAAAUUUGUGGCUUAAGUAGUUUGGAAUAUCAAGUUGAAGUAGGCUUUUUUUUUUUUGGAAUAUCAAUGUAUGGCUUAACAACGAUGCUCAGCUUCAUACCCUCCUUUUAAAUGAUAAUUGGGAUGAGAACAGCCCGGUGUAGGCUUAUGGAUUAUAUGUGAAUUUGAAUUGUUGAUAA